Molecule: ribosomal RNA, 253 nt
Filed under: uncultured bacterium
Lineage: Bacteria
Description: partial 16S ribosomal RNA
Rfam family: Bacterial small subunit ribosomal RNA
Source: RNAcentral
UACGUAGGUGGCAAGCGUUGUCCGGAUUUACUGGGCGUAAAGAGCGCGCAGGCGGUCGUUCAAGUCGCGUGUGAAAGCCCCCGGCUCAACUGGGGAGGGUCACGCGAUACUGAUCGACUCGAAGGCAGGAGAGGGUAGUGGAAUUCCCGGUGUAGUGGUGAAAUGCGUAGAUAUCGGGAGGAACACCAGUGGCGAAGGCGGCCAUCUGGACGGAUACUGACGCUGAGACGCGAAAGCGUGGGUAGCAAACAGG